GACGAACGCUGGCGGCGCGCCUAACACAUGCAAGUCGAACGAGAGAGAAGGAGCUUGCUUCUUCGAUCGAGUGGCGAACGGGUGAGUAACGCGUGAGGAACCUGCCUCAAAGAGGGGGACAACAGUUGGAAACGACUGCUAAUACCGCAUAAGCCCACGGGUCGGCAUCGACCAGAGGGAAAAGGAGCAAUCCGCUUUGAGAUGGCCUCGCGUCCGAUUAGCUAGUUGGUGAGGUAAUGGCCCACCAAGGCGACGAUCGGUAGCCGGACUGAGAGGUUGAACGGCCACAUUGGGACUGAGACACGGCCCAGACUCCUACGGGAGGCAGCAGUGGGGAAUAUUGCACAAUGGGGGAAACCCUGAUGCAGCGACGCCGCGUGGAGGAAGAAGGUCU
This 394-nucleotide ribosomal RNA is filed under the name uncultured bacterium. Its description in RNAcentral is "bacterial SSU rRNA". It matches the Rfam family "Bacterial small subunit ribosomal RNA", at positions 28 to 417 of the family's 1533-position model. The record is from RNAcentral.